AUUGGGUCCGUGCUCUCUGUGUUGAAUUUGAGGAUCUUGCUCUUUCCAUUGUGUAUGCUCAGGUCUAUUGAUGCUGAGAUUACUGCUACGU
RNAcentral lists this microRNA precursor (91 nucleotides) under Schistosoma japonicum. Its description in RNAcentral is "microRNA sja-mir-3486 precursor". The record is from miRBase by way of RNAcentral. Lineage: Eukaryota; Metazoa; Platyhelminthes; Trematoda; Strigeidida; Schistosomatidae.